UGUAACUAAAUGGUAGAGCAUUUGCCUAGCAUGCAUGAGGCCCUAGGUUCAAUUCCUAGUA
RNAcentral lists this transfer RNA (61 nucleotides) under Marmota marmota marmota (Alpine marmot). It matches the Rfam family "tRNA", at positions 6 to 65 of the family's 71-position model. Rfam says of the family: Transfer RNA (tRNA) molecules are approximately 80 nucleotides in length. Their secondary structure includes four short double-helical elements and three loops (D, anti-codon, and T loops). Further hydrogen bonds mediate the characteristic L-shaped molecular structure. tRNAs have two regions of fundamental functional importance: the anti-codon, which is responsible for specific mRNA codon recognition, and the 3' end, to which the tRNAs corresponding amino acid is attached (by aminoacyl-tRNA synthetases). tRNAs cope with the degeneracy of the genetic code in two manners: having more than one tRNA (with a specific anti-codon) for a particular amino acid; and 'wobble' base-pairing, i.e. permitting non-standard base-pairing at the 3rd anti-codon position. The record is from Rfam by way of RNAcentral. RNAcentral also lists the same sequence under 2 other names. Lineage: Eukaryota; Metazoa; Chordata; Mammalia; Rodentia; Sciuridae.